AGAGGAAGUAAAAGUCGUAACAAGGUCUCCGUAGGUGAACCUGCGGAGGGAUCAUUACCGAGUUCAUGCCCUUACGGGUAGACCUCCCACCCUAUGUUAUAUUACCUUUGUUGCUUUGGCGGGCCGCCCGGCUUCGGCCAGGCUACCGGCUCCAGCUGGUAAGCGCUCGCCAGAGGACCCUCAACUCUGAAUAUCAGUGUCGUCUGAGUACUAUAAAAUAGUUAAAACUUUCAACAACGGAUCUCUUGGUUCUGGCAUCGAUGAAGAACGCAGCGAAAUGCGAUAAGUAAUGUGAAUUGCAGAAUUCAGUGAAUCAUCGAAUCUUUGAACGCACAUUGCGCCCCUUGGUAUUCCGAGGGGCAUGCCUGUUCGAGCGUCAUUACAACCCUCAAGCACUGCUUGGUAUUGGGCUCCGCUGGCUCCAGCGGGCCUUAAAAUCAGUGGCGGCGCCGUUUGGGCUCUGAGCGUAGUAAAUAUCCUCGCUAUAGAGACCAGGCGGUUCUUGUCAUCAACCCCCAACUUUCUAAGUUUGACCUCGGAUCAGGUAGGGAUACCCGCUGAACUUAAGCAUAUCAA
Molecule: ribosomal RNA, 576 nt
Filed under: uncultured fungus
Lineage: Eukaryota; Fungi
Description: eukaryotic LSU rRNA
Rfam family: 5.8S ribosomal RNA (bases 226-379)
Source: RNAcentral